GGAGGAUCCAAGCGUUAUCCGGAAUCAUUGGGUUUAAAGGGUCCGUAGGCGGUCUUAUAAGUCAGUGGUGAAAGCCCAUCGCUCAACGAUGGAACUGCCAUUGAUACUGUAAGACUUGAAUGCUUAGGAAGUAACUAGAAUAUGUAGUGUAGCGGUGAAAUGCUUAGAUAUUACAUGGAAUACCAAUUGCGAAGGCAGGUUACUACUAAGUGAUUGACGCUGAUGGACGAAAGCGUGGGGAGCGAAC
RNAcentral lists this ribosomal RNA (247 nucleotides) under uncultured Flavobacterium sp. RNAcentral's name for it is "partial 16S ribosomal RNA". It matches the Rfam family "Bacterial small subunit ribosomal RNA", at positions 527 to 773 of the family's 1533-position model. Lineage: Bacteria; Pseudomonadati; Bacteroidota; Flavobacteriia; Flavobacteriales; Flavobacteriaceae. The record is from RNAcentral.